RNAcentral lists this microRNA precursor (67 nucleotides) under Mus spretus (western wild mouse). Its description in RNAcentral is "microRNA 6922 (ENSMSPG00010041254.1)". The record is from RNAcentral. Lineage: Eukaryota; Metazoa; Chordata; Mammalia; Rodentia; Muridae.
AUUGGUGUGGGAGGGGACUGUAGAGAGGAGGGUGCCUAACCUCUGUUCUGCUCACCCCUUCUCACAG